GGGCAGGUACCCAAGCGGCCAAAGGGGACUGACUGUAAAUCAGUUGGCUCAGCCUUCGGAGGUUCGAAUCCUUCCCUGCCCA
RNAcentral lists this transfer RNA (82 nucleotides) under Chloroflexota bacterium. RNAcentral's name for it is "Chloroflexi bacterium (anaerobic digester metagenome) tRNA-Tyr". It matches the Rfam family "tRNA". Rfam says of the family: Transfer RNA (tRNA) molecules are approximately 80 nucleotides in length. Their secondary structure includes four short double-helical elements and three loops (D, anti-codon, and T loops). Further hydrogen bonds mediate the characteristic L-shaped molecular structure. tRNAs have two regions of fundamental functional importance: the anti-codon, which is responsible for specific mRNA codon recognition, and the 3' end, to which the tRNAs corresponding amino acid is attached (by aminoacyl-tRNA synthetases). tRNAs cope with the degeneracy of the genetic code in two manners: having more than one tRNA (with a specific anti-codon) for a particular amino acid; and 'wobble' base-pairing, i.e. permitting non-standard base-pairing at the 3rd anti-codon position. Lineage: Bacteria; Bacillati; Chloroflexota. RNAcentral also lists the same sequence under 1 other name. The record is from RNAcentral.